GUGCACAUAGCCUGUCUUCUCUUGAGAGCCAGGUCUUUUUACGGCUGCCUUUCUCAAUAGCAAGGCUAUGCUCACUGAGUUUGUACGUAGUCAAAGCUUUCCUUAAGUUUGGGUCAGUCACAGUGGUCAGGUGUAACCGAUGUGAAAUGGCUAGUUAGUUAGCGGUGGUGCGCGCUAAUAGCAUUUCAAUCGGUGACGUCACUCGCUCUGAGACCUGAAGUGGUUGUUCCCCUUGCGUUGCAAGGGCCGCGGCUUUUGUGGCGCGAUGGGUAACGAUGCUUCGUGGGUGUCAGUUGUUGAUGUGUGCAAGGGUCCCAGGUUGGGGCGAAGAGAGGGACGGAACCUACACUGUUACACAGGUAUUCUGCCAUUGUGUACUCUCUGUUUAGGGCCAAAUAGCAUUCUAGUUUGCUCUGUUUUUUUGUUGUUAAUUCUUUCCAAUGUGUCAAGUAAUUAUCUUUUUGUUUUCUCAUGAUUUGGUUGGGUCUAAUUGUGUUGCUAUCCUGGGGCUCUGUGGGGUCUGUUUGUGUUUGUGAACAGAGCCCCAGGACCAGCUUGCUUAGGGGACUCUUCUCCAAGUUCAUCUCUCUGUAGGUGAUGGCUUUGUUAUGGACGGUUUGGGAAUCGCUUCCUUUAAGGUGGUUGUAGAAUUUAACGUCUCUUUUCUGGAUUUUGACAAUUAGCGGGUAUCGGUCUAAUUCAGCUCUGCAUGCAUUAUUUGGUGUUUUACGUUGUACAUGGAGGAUAUUUUUGGAGAAUUCUGCAUGCAGUCUCAAUUUGGUGUUUGAAUUCUUGGUUGGUGAGCGGACCCCUGACCUUAUAACCAUAAAGGGUAAUGGGUUCUAUAACUGAUUCAAGUAUUUUUAGCCAGAUCCCCCCUCUCUCUCUCUCUCUCUCUCUCUCUCUGUUAACCAGAUUGAAUUUAGCAGUGUCUCUCCUCCAGUCUGUAACACAUUCCUACCAUCUGUUGGAACUUGCUGGCAGGCAGGGAGGAGGAGGAAGCAGUGGUAUUUCCACGCUUUCUAUAAAUAGCUCAUAUGCCACAGUCAGUCAGUCAUCCAGUCAGUCAGUCUCAGUCGGUCAGUCGGCCGGUCAGCCGGUCAGUCACUAACCUCGAUCACUCCACACAAUGGAACCAUUCAGAUGCCCCGAGACAGAGAUCUAGUAUCAGUUUCUGAUCAGCGUCCAGAGGCAACUUCAACUUCCCCAAUCCCCCAUCAAUUCAGCUCGACAAGACAGAAUGUGAUGAUGUCACUUGUGAUGUCAUUUCCCAUUGGACCUGACUAGAGUUCUGGAACUAGAUGCUGCUGCAGAGCAUCAUGAUUUCGUCUACGUUGAUGAGGUCGGCUUUAACAUAGCUAAAACAAGCCGCAGGGGAAGAAACCUCAUAGGACACCACCAUCGUCAAUGUCUCUGGACAGCGUGGUGACAACAUCACAAUGUGUGCAGCCAUUAGUCAGAAUGGUGUCCUUCAUCGCUUGUGAUGUUGAUGGGGUACUGUGGCCAGACCCAAAAUGGAGACAGGAUGCACCCUAAUUGUUUUUUUCUUUAUAAUAACAAGCCUAUUUGUUUUUCUUCUACUGUAUUUGUUUAAUCUGUUACUGUUCAUCCCGAAAUCUGGAUGAAAAUACAAAAUACUAUGUUUUGAGAAAGAAAUACAUUACAUUUUUCCCCCCUUGCAUUUCUGUUUAUAGUGUAAAUAUAUACUGAAUAUGCAUACAUACUGUAUAUAUUUUUGCAUAUACAUGUAUGUGUGAGUGCUUUGACAAACUGCCGUGGACUCCACUGCACACUGAACAUGCAAAAGACACAAGAUAGUAGUGUUUUCCAUUUGUCACAUCCGUGUGUAGUUGGCGUGUAUAAGAGCUAAUCAUUUGAUGGUUUGUGUGAAGAGUUUUGAUGCAAAAACACAAUUUUGAGAAUUUUGAGUUAAAAUCGUUUUGAAUGAAGUGUUUGGUUUUGCAAGAGAUGUGUGCCGUUUUGCAUGUUGUGUGUGCUUUAGGGUUUUGUGUGUAGAGUCUAGAGAAAAGGAGCCGUAGUUUCAGAAAUCAUGUGUAAGCAAUUGUCAAAAACUGUAAUAUGAAGUCAUACUUUGAUUAACUGGUACACGUUGGAUUAGACUGUGGAUCCACAGGCUUAUCUUUUCAGAGGAACCCACAACCCAGUCUCUUUUCUAUUACUCUCUUUUCUACUCUACUUCUCCAUUCUCUCUCUUUCUACCUCUCCCACUCUGUCUAUCAUACACAUGUCCACAGUGGUGGAAAAAGUACCUAAUUGUCAUAUUUGAGUAAAAGUAAAGAUACCUGAAUAGAAAAUGACUCAAGAAAAAGUGAAAGUCACCCAGUAAAAUACUACUUGAGUAAAAGUCUAAAAGUAUUUGGUUUUAAAUGUACUUAAGUAUCAAAAGUAAAUGUAAUUGCUAAAAUACACUUAAGUAUCAAAAGUCUAAGUAAAAGUAUCAUUCAUUUCAAAUUCCUUAUUUAAACAAACCAGAUGGAACAAUUUUCUUGUUUUAUUUUAUUUACGGAUAGCCAGGGGCACACUCCAACACUGAGACAUAAUUUACAAACAAAGCAUGUGUGUUUAUGGAGUGCCCCAGAUCAGAGGCUGUAGGUAUGACCAGCGAUGUUCUCAUGAUAAGUGCAUGAAUUGGACAAUUUUCUGAGCAGGACAGCUCAGCAUUCGAAAUGUAAUGACUACUUUUGGGUGUCAGGAAAAUGUAUGGAUUAAAAAGUACAUUCUUUUCUUUUGGGAAUGUAGUGAAGUAAAAGUAAAAGGAGUCAAAAAAUAUCAAUAGUAAAGUAAAAUACAAAAAAACUACUUAAGUAGUACCUUAAAGUAUUUUUUACUUAAGAACAAAUACUUUAUACCACUGCAUGUACAUUAACUUCCUCUCUCUCCCUCUCUCUCGCUCUCUCCCUGGGGGGUUAGGAUUAAAUCAUGCACAUUCACUAAUUAAUGAUUCCAAUAGUCAAAGCUAUUUGGAUGAAGUUGCUCCCAGACACUGAUCUACUGUCAGUUUUGUUUUCCCCUCCACUUGUUAAGGUUAGUAUUCAAAGAGGGGAAGCUGAUUCUAGAUAUGUGCCUAAUGGCAAUUUUAAGUCAUUAUUG
RNAcentral lists this long non-coding RNA (3111 nucleotides) under Salmo salar (Atlantic salmon). Its description in RNAcentral is "lncRNA (ENSSSAG00000089816.1, ENSSSAG00000093547.1)". Lineage: Eukaryota; Metazoa; Chordata; Actinopteri; Salmoniformes; Salmonidae. The record is from RNAcentral.